AAGCAUGUUGCUAUUUACCGCAAUUAUUCAAAUGCUUCCAUGUGACAUGCAAUAUUAAAACAAACAAUUAUUAAAAUGAGUAGUUGUAAUUGGAGGUCUAUAACAAACAAAAUGAUAGUAUUAGUUUAAUAUUUAGCAAAAAAUAAAAAAUGUUGCAACCUUGCAAUUAUAGCUCCAAAUCUAAAGAAUUAAACCGGGUUGCAAUGAGAGUUACCUUGCAUAAAGAUGUGUUACUUAAAGUUAGAAUGGCUUCCGUUAAUCUAAAAAGUAUUUUCAAAUAAGAAUAUACUUUCAACUAUUAAAUGUUCAUAAUAACAACCUUCUUCCAUCUGUUGCUGCAAGUGUUUUGCUUUUUCUUCUUUCAACCAUACGUACCCCCGCCAUCUCACAAAGAUACACAACGACCUAUAAAGUCCAGAGUAUGUGUUAUCAUUAUUUGUAAUAUUAAUAUUUUUUAAUGAAUAUAAAUCAUACAUACAUACGAUUGUAAUAUAUUGUUUUUAAUCAAAUUAUUCAACAAUUUUCAUUUUUAUAAUACUGUAAAUGCAUAAAAAUACCUCUACAAUAGCAUCAAAAUAAAAAAUGUCCCAACUGUUCAAAGUUUUUUUCAUUUUUUAAUUAAAUAAUAGUUGGUCACACUCUCUGUUAAUAUAUCUAGGAAUCAUGUAAACCAACCUUAACAGGGCAUCUGGUUCAAACGUGGAGCAAGGCAGCAGGAAGGUUAUUUAAAUAACCUGUACAAUAACCACAAACUAAGAAACCCUAAAAUCUAAAAAAUCACAUGAAAAAUUAUAGAUAUUUGAAAGAACAAUAGAAGCUUUAUAUUAAUCUGAGCACCAUAGCAUCAAUUUGAUUAAAAAAAACUAACCGCAUCGAUGUCUUCUUCUUAUUAGUGCUCCAACUGGAAAAAAUGAGAGUAAUAAAAAAAAGAAAUCUUCACCUUCCAGUCAGAACCCUAAAGAAAAGAAUCCAUGGACAAAACCAAAAACAAUAUUCUGAAUACAUAAUUAAACUAACCUCAUAUGAUAUUUUUGCCAAAAACUCAUAAAACUGUAGCUAAAUCUGUGUGCUCAUAAAAUCGCAAACCCAUCUAUCCGUACUAAUCUGGGGAACAAACAGCAAACCAAACGUUCUCAAAUCUAGAAAAACAAAUUAAAAAGGCAACAAAUUAGUGAACAUACCUGAUUUCAUAGAUAGAGGUGGAUCUGGCACUAUGAUUAGCAAAAGUGAGAAAAAAAACAAAGGACUGACUUGGACAUCCACUGUUUUGAUUAUCUGAUCUCAUCCAACAUUUCCUUUUCCUACUCCAAGAAGGUGCAGAUGUGUUUAUCAACCAACUUCGAGCUUGAUUACAAAACAAAUAGAUUGAAUGCACAUUAGAAAAGGAUAUUCAAAUUACCAUGUAUUUCAAUUACACUAUUCUUUUUCCACCAAAAAAACCCUUUUUUUGACAUUUUGUAUAUCAGUUUUCUAUUCCUUCAUAGCUGAUUGCUGUUAAGAAGCAUGAAGAAUAGUUAAAUAGGUCAACAUUAUCACUAUUAUCACUAUGUAGUUAUACAUUCUUCCAAAUGGAUGUCAUUAACCAUUUAGGUAACAUUGAGAUAUAAUAAUUGGAAUUAAUAGAAACAAUUUAAUUUAGUAAUUCUAACCAUAAUUUAAAAUCUUUACAUUAAUUUUUACAUUUUUAGAUGAUGAUUAAUUUGUAAAAAAAAAAUUUUGAAACAAAUAAUUACACAGAGCUGGCUCAAUUCACAUGAACUGGUGAUAAAAUAUACUAUAUACUAAUGUUUAUAAUGGGGCAUUAAUAGUUAGUUUUGUUGAUAAAUUGAAAUAAAUUGGAAAAAAACAUAAAGAAAUAGGUGUAACUGCAAAGUGAGUUGAGAAAAAAUUGUUAAUUACGAUAUGGUAGUAUCGUCAGUCAACCAUUUCUUGAAGGUGGACCAAAAUAUGACUUCCAUGUUCUGUUUUCAUGCACAUAAACAAUUUUACUCUUCAACUAUCAGUGAUAUUUACUACAUCAAUAACCAAAAAACGGAAAAAUAACCUGAUAGCAUUGUAUUUUGGUUAAUGCAAGGUACGUUGCUAUUUGGGACAUUUUACUCCAGAAAAUGAAAAAUGCACCUAACGGCAUUGUAGCUAGGUUUUUUGAAAAAAUUAAAAGAAAUUACAAAAAAUGUGAAAAAAAACGUGUAAAUGCAAAGUACAUUGCUAUUUACUGCAUUUACCAUCUAAAUAUGGAAAAUACACUAAAUGGCAAUGUACUUUGGUUUUUGGUAAAAGAGGCGUAACAAAAAUGCAAAGUACAUUACUAUUUAGUAUUCGCUAACUUUCAUUUCAAAUUCCACCAUUUUAUCCCAAUUAUAUGUGUUUUCAUCAAUUCAGAUCUCAGUUUUUCAAUUUUCCAAAAAUAAGCAAUAUCUCCUAUAAAACACAAAACAAAAAUCAUAUAAACAUAGAUUUUUUUGCUUACAUACCUUAAUAGCAGGCACACUUCCCAACUCUUUAAGAUCCUCAAACUUAAUUACCUACAAAAUAUCAAACAUACAAAUUCUCUACAUCCGAAUAGCCACUUCAUUUUUAAUUUAAACAAUACAACAAUCUAGGAGGUAAUUUUUUUUACUGUUGAUAGAAAUUACCUCAUCAGGUCAAGCAGUGAAGAAAACAUUUUCUUUCAUAUAGACCCUUUCAGAGAAAGAAAA
RNAcentral lists this long non-coding RNA (2699 nucleotides) under Lactuca sativa (garden lettuce). RNAcentral's name for it is "long non-coding RNA (LSAT_LNC008247)". Lineage: Eukaryota; Viridiplantae; Streptophyta; Magnoliopsida; Asterales; Asteraceae. The record is from RNAcentral.